GGAGGGAUCAUCAAAGAAUAACACAUUCUAAAACUCCAAGUGUUGGAGGGGAAGAAGGGGGGAAAAGAGAAAAGGGGGGUCAUCUGUCCAUAUCUGUGGUAGUUGGCGUUUCUUCUUUUCUUCUUCUUCUUCUUCUCUUCCUCUGAUGCUUCAAACAAACGAUCACAACUAAACGCUAACAGCAAGGGGGGAAAAAGAAAAAAGGCAGAGCAAUCUGUCUUUCUUUCAACAAAUGGUUGCCUGAUAAUCUGAUGAUUGGAAUUGGAGAAAUAAUACAUACAACUUUCAACAACGGAUCUCUUGGCUCUCACAUCGAUGAAGAACAUAGCAAAGUGUGAAAAUUAAUGUGAAUUGCAGAAUUCAGUGAAUCAUUGAGUUUUUGAACGCAUCUUGCACUCUUUGGUAUUCCAAGGAGUAUGCCUGGUUGAGCAAUGUGAAUAUAUCAUCAAUCCUGUAUGCUGAUACAGAGGGAUUGGAAUUGAGUGCUUUACUUUGUCAUUAAAGACAAGGUUCACUUGAAAUGAAGAGAAUAUGGUGACAGGGCUUGGUUGGCCAAGAGAAAAAGACAAGCAAACUUGGAAAAGAAGGGGAUUAGCUUGCUAUAACAACAAUGACUUGAUGAAGGGAAAAACGGCAGUGGUAUUAAGUCUUGUUUAGAGCUUCUCUCUUUGCUGUCUUGGAACCUUGGCCGCUAUAACCAACAAUCUGCGUCCAUCUUUCACAACUAGGAACAUUGUGGGAAAGAGGGAUCCCCCCUUUUUCCCAUCAUUACCAUCAUUCUCAACUCAGGCAAGACUACCCGCUGAAUUUAAGCAUAUAAAUAAGCGGAGGAAAAGAAACUAACAAGGAUUCCCUUAGUAACUGCGAGUGAAGCGGGAAAAGCUCAAUUUUGAAAUCUACCGGGAGUAACAUUCCUGGUCGAAUUGUAGUUUCAAGAAAGAGUGGCUCAGGAAAGCUGGUUGGGUGCAAGUUCCUUGGAACAGGACAUCAGAGAGGGUUACAAUCCCGUCUACCGUCCUUCCGCUUUUCUACCAAGCCCUCUUUUCGAAGAGUCGAGUUGUUUGGGAUUGCAGCUCAAAAUGGGUGGUAAAUUUCAUCUAAAGCUAAAUAUGGGUGAGAGACCGAUAGCGAACAAGUACCGUGAGGGAAAGAUGAAAAGCACUCUGAAGAGAGAGUGAAAAGUACGUGAAAUUGUUGAAAGGGAAACGCUUGAAACCAGUCAAGGUUGGCUAGAUUUCAGGAAACCGUGCUGUGCUGGGCAGGGCUAGUGUAGGGUAUUGGCUCCUUGCGGGUCGACUCUGGGCUGGUUUUGCGCUCAGGCACGCUUUCUGUACGUUUCUAGCCAACGAGUCAGCAUCAGUUUGACUGCUUGGGAGAAAGGUAACAGGAUUUGGUUAAGCUUUCCGGGAGACUUGUUCUUCUGAAGGCUUGAGCCUGCUUAUCACGAUACCAAGUGUUGGACUGAGGACUGCAGUAUAUACAAGGCAUUGACCUGGAACAGGCAAUCCUGUGGUGGCGUCGCCAAUAAACAGCUUGCUGAUUGUUGGAUACGUUUUUUUCACCCGGGACUUGUCAAAUCCAGGCUGGUCUUGACUUUGGAUGUUGACGAAAUGGUUUUAAACGACCCGUCUUGAAACACGGACCAAGGAGUCUAACAUGGAUGCAAGUAUUUGGGUGAUUGGAAACCCAUAUGCGCAAUGAAAGUGAAAUUUUGAUAGGUAGGACGCUGUGGGGGCUUUUUGCUUCCUUGGCAGCACUAUCGACCGAUCUUAACUAGCUUCGGCUUGCUAGAUUUGAGUAAGAGCAUGCAUGUUGGGACCCGAAAGAUGGUGAACUAUGCCUGAAUAGGGUGAAGUCAGACGAAAGUCUGAUGGAAGCUCGUAGCGAUUCUGACGUGCAAAUCGAUCGUCAAAUUUGGGUAUAGGGGCGAAAGACUAAUCGAACCAUCUAGUAGCUGGUUCCUGC
Molecule: unclassified non-coding RNA, 1965 nt
Filed under: uncultured fungus
Lineage: Eukaryota; Fungi
Description: sequence contains 18S rRNA gene, ITS1, 5.8S rRNA gene, ITS2, 28S rRNA gene
Rfam family: Eukaryotic large subunit ribosomal RNA (bases 776-1965)
Source: RNAcentral